RNAcentral lists this ribosomal RNA (201 nucleotides) under uncultured bacterium. Its description in RNAcentral is "partial 16S ribosomal RNA". It matches the Rfam family "Bacterial small subunit ribosomal RNA", at positions 335 to 527 of the family's 1533-position model. The record is from RNAcentral.
ACUCCUACGGGAGGCAGCAGUGGGGAAUUUUGCGCAAUGAGCGAAAGCUUGACGCAGCGACGCCGCGUGCGGGAUGAAGGCUCUCGGGUCGUAAACCGCUGUCGUGAGGGACGAACAUCCCAAGGAUGAAUAAGCCUUGGGCCUGACGGUACCUCAUGAGAAAGCCCCGGCUAACUACGUGCCAGCAGCCGCGGUAAUACG